CGGACGGGUGAGUAACGCGUGAGAAUCUGCCCUCAGGAGGGGGAUAACGGCUGGAAACGGCCGCUAAUACCCCAUAUGCCGAGAGGUGAAAUGAAUUUCGCCUGAGGAUGAGCUCGCGUCUGAUUAGCUAGUUGGUAGGGUAAAGGCCUACCAAGGCUUCGAUCAGUAGCUGGUCUGAGAGGAUGAUCAGCCACACUGGGACUGAGACACGGCCCAGACUCCUACGGGAGGCAGCAGUGGGGAAUUUUCCGCAAUGGGCGAAAGCCUGACGGAGCAACGCCGCGUGAGGGAUGAAGGCCUCUGGGCUGUAAACCUCUUUUAUCAAGGAAGAAGAUCUGACGGUACUUGAUGAAUAAGCCACGGCUAAUUCCGUGCCAGCAGCCGCGGUAAUACGGGAGUGGCAAGCGUUAUCCGGAAUUAUUGGGCGUAAAGCGUCCGCAGGCGGUCUUACAAGUCUGUCGUUAAAGCGUGGAGCUUAACUCCAUUUCAGCGAUGGAAACUGUAAGACUAGAGUGUGGUAGGGGCAGAGGGAAUUCCCGGUGUAGCGGUGAAAUGCAUAGAUAUCGGGAAGAACACCAGUGGCGAAGGCGCUCUGCUGGGCCAUAACUGACGCUCAUGGACGAAAGCCAGGGGAGCGAAAGGGAUUAGAUACCCCUGUAGUC
Molecule: ribosomal RNA, 662 nt
Filed under: uncultured Cyanobacterium sp.
Lineage: Bacteria; Bacillati; Cyanobacteriota; Cyanophyceae; Chroococcales; Geminocystaceae
Description: bacterial SSU rRNA
Rfam family: Bacterial small subunit ribosomal RNA
Source: RNAcentral